RNAcentral lists this ribosomal RNA (484 nucleotides) under uncultured bacterium. Its description in RNAcentral is "partial 16S ribosomal RNA". It matches the Rfam family "Bacterial small subunit ribosomal RNA", at positions 30 to 507 of the family's 1533-position model. The record is from RNAcentral.
AUUGAACGCUGGCGGCAGGCCUAACACAUGCAAGUCGAGCGGAUGAAGGGAGCUUGCUCCUGGAUUCAGCGGCGGACGGGUGAGUAAUGCCUAGGAAUCUGCCUGGUAGUGGGGGCUAACGUCCGGAAACGGGCGCUAAUACCGCAUACGUCCUGAGGGUGAACGUGGGGGAUCUUCGGACCUCACGCUAUCAGAUGAGCCUAGGUCGGAUUAGCUAGUUGGUGAGGUAAAGGCCUACCAAGGCGACGAUCCGUAACUGGUCUGAGAGGAUGAUCAGUCACACUGGAACUGAGACACGGUCCAGACUCCUACGGGAGGCAGCAGUGGGGAAUAUUGGACAAUGGGCGAAAGCCUGAUCCAGCCAUGCCGCGUGUGUGAAGAAGGUCUUCGGAUCGUAAAGCACUUUAAGUAGGGAGGAAGGACAGUAAGUGAAUACCUGGCUGUUUUGACGUUACCAACAGAAUAAGCACCGGCUAACUUCGUG